This 795-nucleotide long non-coding RNA is filed under the name Gossypium barbadense (sea-island cotton). Its description in RNAcentral is "long non-coding RNA (GBAR_LNC017992)". The record is from RNAcentral. Lineage: Eukaryota; Viridiplantae; Streptophyta; Magnoliopsida; Malvales; Malvaceae.
CAAUCUAUAGCUAUAAUUUAAAACCAAUGUAUUCCUCUUGUGAAUUAAACGUGUCUACAAGCUCCAUUUGUUUAAUUCUCUCAGUUCACAAAUCCUAGCAGCUAAACUUUCUUGAAACCAAAACUUGAUCAUAUUGGCGAUAGCGUUAACCUUCGGCUAGUUGUCGACAAUAACCUUUUCAACAAACUUUUUUCUGUUUUUAGUUUCAGUACCUUUUUUUUUUUAAAUAAUGAUUCUAAUUUUAAUCCAGUCUAUUUUUUUCUGAAGCUAGGAUGAUUUUUGUCUACCAUGUUUUCUCAUAAAGGAGUGGUAGUUUUAAUAUUAGCUUUAGUUCUUAUUUUUUGUUUUCCCUGUAUAUAGAAUCUUAUGAGAAGAGUGUUUGCAAAAUUGAACUCUGAGAUGUUAAGAAGGAUAGGUCAUUUGAGACUUGACUUUUUGUAUAUAUGAUGUAGUGGGUUUCUUAGGACUUUUGGCAAUAUUUUCUUGAUUGACAAGUAUUUAUCAUCAAGUUGGUCAAAUGAUGGUGGAAUUAGGAUGCAAGUGCUAGUAGUUUGAUCGAGGGGUUAAGAUGCAAGUAUCAGUUGUUUGAUCAACGUGAUGAAUUUUUGGAUUGUUUUUGAAUCUUUUUUAGUGUUGUAUUUACUGUGAGUUUGUGUUUAUCCUCUUUUUAGACCUUAUUUUGCAAAUAAUAACAUUUGUGUAACAACUUAUAUUAUUUCAUGUAUUGUAUAUGCUACGAGUCUUAGCUCAAUUGACAUGAAUAUUGUUGUCAAUGCAGGAGGAUGUGGGUUCGAG